Manis pentadactyla (Chinese pangolin) is the source of this 5127-nucleotide long non-coding RNA. RefSeq lists it as uncharacterized. The transcript has 2 exons. Lineage: Eukaryota; Metazoa; Chordata; Mammalia; Pholidota; Manidae. The record is from RefSeq and is a predicted model, not a curated record.
GCCUUCCUGCUUCAUUUCAGUUUCCACAGGUGCCGCUCUUGUCUCCCUGAUGAAAGAAGAUGCUUCUUACGAGCCUCUGUACCGGGGCACUUACAACCGGCACUGAAAUGAUUUCUGCUUCUGCCUCCCGCUGGACUGUGGCCUUCUCUGGGACAGUGACUUGGUCCCUGUCUUUGCUCCCGUUGUGCUGCACAUAGUAGGUGCUCCUUACAUGCCUGAUGUUGGAAGGCCUCUUUCCAGGAAUCCCUAGCGGCAGGUCGGUCUUCAGCCGCCAGGUGGCACUAGUGCCCAGGCCCUGCCAGCGCGGGGCGGGCGGUGGCCCUGGGAGAGGCUUAGGCGCUGGUGGCAGGUGGUGCUAAGGUUCGCCGCGUAUUAUCCUUUCACCCCUAGACUAACCGCAGGGGCAGGUCGAAGUGGUUAGAGUCAGAGAAACUGGGAGGGGUUGGCAGGUCGAUAGCCGGGACGUCAGGAUGCAGCCCGGAUUAAGGAACCAAAUUCCGCGCAGUGUGAGCGCAGGUGAAAGGGUUUGUAAACUGGAAAGAGCUCUACGAGUAGGAGGUGCUGAUGGUUUAGCUCGUGUCGCCUGGCAGCCUGGAGACCUCAGGAAACACCGCUGGGUGGGAUCAGCGGGAAGAGUGUACGGGGCCUCCUUGAUCCACGGUCACACUUCUGGGUCCUGAAUCCCAGGCAGGGCUCCGACCCCACGGCCACGGGCACAGGGGCCCGUUCCCAUGAGCCGAGCACAGCACCGCCCCACCGCCCACCUUUGGGCCGCUCACCCACCAGAAUGGUUUCCUCCGGCCUCCCAGCCUCACCGAACGGACAGAGCUCCCAGUGGCCUCACUCGGACGAAGCUGCUGCUUUUCUCUUUUGACACGGCAGCACAGCAUAUUACCGAUUUUAAAAAGUACCCACAAACAAAAGACUUAAGAUGUUAAAGUGCUGAAUUUAAUGGAUUCCUCAGCGACUAUACCGAGACCACACACACCCUGCGCAUCCUGCCUGUGCUCACGUCACGGUCAGAGCCCGUUGGGUUGAAGAGGCAGCAGCCACCCUGCGGGGUGCCCCAUCUCCCCUGCUGCCCUGCCUCGCCCCAGCCUUUUAGGGGGCAGGUGAAGUGAAGCUCUCAGCUGCGGCCACGGAAGAAGGUUGCAUGUCCUUGAGAAUGAGGUCUAUUCUGGGGCCCUGGGGCCUUUCUCUGGAAGGCUGGAGCGGUCCUGGCUCUUCCGGUCAGCCUCUGGCCCUGGACUUGUCAGUGUGCUGUUUGGAUCAGAGAAUGAAGCCAGAGAGUGGAAAAGGGGGGCAGGAAGAGGCUUUCAAGGGGCCUUGGUGGGACCCUGACAGCAGGAACACUAGAUAUAGGGACAUUCGUUUGAGGUUUAUGAGCGAUGGAUGGCUCCUGACUUUAGGUCACCUCUUUGCUAAUUUCCUCCUCUUCUGAGUUCCUGCUCUGCAAAAUCCAGUCCUUCCCCUUUUGUGUCUCCUUUACUGUCACCGGUCACCAAACUCACACUUCUGAUACCAGAUCUGAGGGUUUUCCCCUACAUCAAGCAAUUCUGGGACACCAACUGGGUGUCCUACCAUUCAACUCAAUUCUGACACUGUCUACCUGGAGAUGGUGUCAGAUCCCACCAGGUUAAGGGCUCAGUCCCGCAAGACCAUCACCGCCCCCUCACCUCCCUGCAGCACACACACACACACACACACACACACACACACGCUCCCGAGGCUGUUACCUGUGCUUCUGACUGAUCACCUGUAAAUCAGAGGUUCCCAUGAACCCCUCCUCGGAUUCAAUUAAUUUGCUAGAAUGGCUCAGAGGACUCAAGAAAAGUUUGCUUGCAGUUUUCCCAGCUUAUUAAAAGAUACUGAAGGACACAGAUGAACGUUCAAAUGGAAGACAGGUGUAAGGCAAGGUGUGUGAGAAGGGGACCUCUGACCCCCUGACCCCCUAGGCACACCACUCUCCCUGCACCUCCACGUGUGGGCCAACCUGGAAGCUCUGUGAACCCCAUACUAUUAGGAUUUUUACAGAGGCUCCCCACAUAGGCCUGAUGGACUGCUAACCCCAUUUCCUGCCCUGCUACCCUCUCUGGAGAAAUGGGUGGGGCUGAAACUCCUAAGCUGCUAAUCAUGGCUUGGUCUCUCUGGCAGCCAGCCCCCCACCUGGGAGCCACCUCAUUAGAACAAAAGACAUUGCUCUUACCAGGAAAUUCCCAGUGAUUUUGGAACUAUGAAUCAGGAACUGGGGGUCAAAGCUGAAUAUUGGAACAAAAGAUGCUCCUAGUACUCUUAUCACUUAGGAAAUUACAAGGUUUCAGGAGCUCUGGGCCAGGAACUGGGGCCAGAGACCAAUAUAUGAAUUUUCUAUUAUUUCACAGUUAUCAACCAUUGAUGGUCCCACUGGCCCCUCACGCUCAGGCCCCUGGGCUGGGGCUCCCCUUCCUGCCCGAGGUCUCUGUAGGCCAGCACACUCCCUGCUGGGCAGCUUGGGGUCUGUCUGCCUCCACCCCUCCCAUCCAGUGUUUUGCCAAGCGAAUCCACCCUGUCUCCACCCUGUCACCUCUGCACCCCAUCCUGGUCCUGACUCCGCCCUCAUCUCUGCCUGGAUUUUGGUGAUGUCUCCUGUCUGGCCCCAUGUCUCGAGUGUCCCCCAGGAGGCCUGACUGUCCUGAAGAAUCCUCCUGAACUAGCCUCUGGUCCUGCCUCAGCCCUGUUCAAAGAGCUUCACUGAUGGCAGCUUAUCGCAGAGUUUAUUUCAGAUGCCUCAGCCUUGCUGUCAGCAUCCUGUACAGCCUCCCUGCUCAAAGUGGGGUCCUCAGACCUGCAGCACCAGUGUCACCCAGGAGCUUGUGAGAAAUGCAGAAUCUGGGGCCCUCCAGGCCUCCUGAAUCAGAAUCUGCUUCUUAACAAGAUGGCCAAGUGAAUCGGAUGCAAUUCACGCAGGAAGAGUGCUGGCAUUGAGCUCAGGAUUUUUUCCUCUCCAUUUCUUCUCUCUUCCUGGGGUUGCUGGUUAUCUGUGUGUAUCUCCACUGGCAGUCCCAUACUGCUCUUCUUUGUUCUAACUGCUUCCCGAUUAUUUUCUCUAUAAUAAUUUUCUCUUCCUGUCUUCCACAUCACUGGUAUGGUUUCCUGUAGUGUUGAUUGCAUUCUUCACACUUUUUAUAUCUGCAAAAGAAUUACUUUUCUCCUCAAUUAUCUUAGCCCACCCCCCAUCCGCUUGAGAUAUCUUCAUUCUUCUUUCCUCUCCGGUUUCGUCAGUCUUUUGCAAACUCUUGUUCCGUUAUUUUGGAAGACCAGAUAUUUGUGCAGGUCUCACAUUAGUGUUUUUCUUUCUUUCUUUCUUUCUGCUUUUUCACCUUUGAUUGGGGUCUGUCUACUUGCCCUGUCUGGGUCCAUUGCUCCUAGGGUCCAAACUGGUGCACUUUGUGGUCUCAGGGUUACUAUGUUUGCUUUUGUGCUAAAGCAUCCCACAGGAGGUCCCGGUGACAACACAGAGCAUGACCCUGCUGGGGGCUGCCGAGUACGUGGUUCACGUGGAAGAGAUGGGUGGGAAGGAAGGCCAUGGGGGAGUGCAGAAUAACUACGAUGACACGUGCUGAGCCCUGGGGUGCACCCACGGCCCUGAGCGCUGACCACAUACUAUGAACUCAGUGACUCAUGCAGCGGCGCUGUGAGGGAAGGCCUUUGAUGACUCCACCCCCGGGCAGGUGAGAGACUGAGGCACGGGGAGGCCCCUGCUCAAGUAGACAGCAGGAAGUGGGGUAGGGUACAGAGUAGGCAGUGUGGCCCCAAAGUCCCGUUUCUCCCCAUGAGUGCGAAGACUCACUCCAUUUGCCCACAGGUCACUUCAUCUAAAGCCAGUUUGCUGACAGGCAGUUGACAGAAUCCAUUUACUAAAUGAGCAAAUCACUGAAUGACCAAUUUGCUUAAUUUGCUAAACUUAUUAAGUAUUUACUUUUAUCAAUUAUUGAUACAGUUUAUGACAGUUUGAAUUGGGUGGAUUCACAGGGUUCAUGAGAAUUGGGGGGAGCAAGGACCCCAGGGUUCUGGGUCAGACUGCCUCCUGGCCUCAGUCUCCCCUCUCUCUGCCUGUCAGCCCCCUCAUCACGCUGCCCCCACACCCCCUUUCAGGGACCACCCAUUCAGUCUGUCCUAUGAACUGCCUUCCCUUCUUUCUUCUAGCAGGGAACUGGGUAGAGAAACAGCACACAUUGCUUAAGGUCCUCGUAGAAGAAGUAAUGAAAACCUGUCAACUAAAAUACAGAAGAAAUCUUCAAGAGCUGUUAAACCAUUCCAUCCAGUAUGAAUUGCUUUAAGCGUUAUACAUAGUUCAAAGAAAGAAGUUUCUGGUAAGUGGAUAGAUUUGAUCAGUACGAUGAGAUGACAAUCUUCGCUGAAGUGGCCAUCUGGCAAAUGGGCUCACUUCUGCUCCCCCAGCACCUCUCAAACAGGCACACCAGCUCGAAAGUUCCUGCUCCGUGGCUGUCAGGGGCAUAUCUGACUUGCAAGCAAAGAUUUGGGAUUCUAGCUUUGUGGCACCAACUUAUUAAAGUUCAUUAGCAGUCAUAUAAUAAAUACCCACAAUUGUAGCAAAGGCCUAAGGAAGAAAUUUUUUGUUCUAUGAUUCCAGUAGCAAUUGAUUUUGAUAUAUACUGAGUGGAGAUUUCAGUCAUGCUGUAAUGCUAAUUUUCUUUCAGAUGAAUAGUACAGUUUUACAGAUAUAUUAGGUGUCACCUGACAGUUUGUGUUAAGAAUGACGUUGCUCUUUUGAACUAGUAAACAAAGGCUUUAAUCAAGCAUUGUAUAACAAAUGUACAUGAACUAGCAUUGUUUGUAUUCAAGUUCAAAGAGUAAGUAUAGAACCUUAUGCUACAGUUUUUUUCCUACAAUCCCAACAUUAAUGACUUGUUUCAGCGAAACAAAAACACCCAUCAUAUAACAUUCAAGUUGUAGGUUUGAAUAUCUGUGUGACUAACCAUUGCAUCAUUGUUUUACUGCUUUAUUUUUAUUUACUUUAUAUACAUUUUUUGCUUUGUAGUAUAAAAACUAUAAGCACAGACAUUUAUACAUAUUUUCAUAUUUAUACAUCUUUAAGUAAAUUAUAAUAAAAAUAAUUUAAAUCAA